GCGGGUGUAGUUCAAUGGUAGAACUCCGGCUUCCCAAGCCUGCGGCGUGGGUUCGAUUCCCAUCACCCGCUCCA
This 74-nucleotide transfer RNA is filed under the name Brevibacillus brevis. Its description in RNAcentral is "tRNA-Gly". It matches the Rfam family "tRNA". From Rfam's summary of the family: Transfer RNA (tRNA) molecules are approximately 80 nucleotides in length. Their secondary structure includes four short double-helical elements and three loops (D, anti-codon, and T loops). The record is from RNAcentral. Lineage: Bacteria; Bacillati; Bacillota; Bacilli; Caryophanales; Paenibacillaceae. RNAcentral also lists the same sequence under 24 other names.